UGCAAUGUGGUUUUCCCUGCGUAAGGAAAUUUCCAUUGAUCUUUUGACUUUUUAAGGAAAUUUGUUAAAAACUUAUAAUUUAUUCUCAAGUCAUUUGAAGAAACUGUACUUCACCUGUUUGAUGGUCUAUGAUGUUUACAUAAACAUUAUGAAAUGUACAUAGAUCAGAGCGCUACAGGGGGUAAUUCAACUUAUACAAACAGUUCCAGGCAAAGUGAUAAUAUCUGGUUUGUAGAGGACUGUUUCAUUAUGAAAAUUAAAUAAUGAAUUUGUAAUGUGAUAUACGUUAUAUUCUAUGACUUCAUGUUGUGGCAGUGGAAAUAAAAAAUUCUUAUGGAAGGAAACGUUGUUUUUUUUGUUGUUGCAUCAGUUCAAACCUACAACGCACUGCCGAAAACAGGUUGAUAUUAAAAACAUGUGUUAAAUACGACAACUAGGAAGAGAUGAAUAAACCUAAAUCCUCUCCACUUGAUAUUGUAUUAUUUUCACAUGAUUUUACGAGCAGUUAACUCGGAAGCAUGUUAAGUUUCUGGUAAUUUGAGAUUAAUGAAAACGAACCUUUAGUUAUUCUGUUUUUUAAAGACAGACCUAUUUCAUCAUAUUCAUUUAUUCAAAUUUCUGCUUUGUUCUUCAUUUCAUUAAACGUAUUCUGUAUUAAACUGGAAAUGAAUACAUGAUAAAAUCAAUAAUAAUUUACCCUGGACAAACGUGUCAUUAUAGUCCUAUCUGAUAAUAGACCUAUAAAUGAACAACUUAUUAAAUACAGAGUGAUUAUAAAAUCUGUGAUCAUAUUAUACAGAUGAUAAUUCUCAGAAUUGGUUAAGAAUGUAAUAAUUGUAAAAGUAAUUUGUUGUAAAGUUACGCCUUUUAGAGAUAACGACUUUGAACAAAUUUAAUUUUGACAUUUUUCACAUCAAAUAAUCAAAAAUAUUGUUCCUCGUCUAUCAGUUUUAUUUAUUUUUUUCAUAAAGGCAUUGAAUUUAAUUUCCAGCUUGUUCGAUUGCAUUGCAACAAAACGUGAGAAUAAUAUUUAAUUUGACAAGAAAUGUUGUCUCAAUCUAUAUAUUUACAUUUAGCCAAAGCUUUCACGAGGCCAAAACCUUGGUUGACAUUUGCAAAUGAAAUUUUGCCAAAUAAUCAAUCAAAUUUUCGUUUCCAUACACUUGAUAAGCAGCGAUCCGCUAUACAAUUACACGAUGUGACUGCUUAAGCGAACAAGGUUCAGAGAAGAUUGCUCAAACAUAGCUUACUGAAGAAAUGAACAUAACGGACCUAAAUGGAACUUCAUUAACUAAAAUGAAACUGGCGAAAGAUCGUUGAUGACCAACUCUUUGUAUUUGGGUUAGUCAUGUCAGCUGUUACGAGUAGCUUGUCAACUAAAUAGAUGCGUUAUUAACAAUUUAUCGAAUCGACUUUUACAAUAAAAGACGAGUUAAGUGUUACUAAAAAGCUACAUUUAAAUGUUCUCUCUAUUAUUUGAUUACGACUAAAUCAUUUCCAUCGCAAAAACUGUGUAGAUUUUAAUAAUCCUCUGAAAUUGUUACAAUUAGUAAAAUACAAAUGAGCAGACGAUUUUUAUCUCGAAAUCGGUUAAUACCUUUAAAGCACAAAUAUAUAAUGUAUGAUGUUAAGGAAAUUGUUUCAUCUUUAUUGGGAUGAAAUAUUUUUUUCUGUCUUUGCUAAGGAAGCAUAAAUGCCAUGAUGCCCGUUGUGAAAUAUGUAGUUAUGUAACACAUUUUGGGGAUAAUAAUAAAUUAUGUUAUAAAUGCAUGUUGAGGAUAAUUGAUCAGUUAAGUGGUUAACUAAAACAACACUAUAUUGUUUAUCUUCCUAUUUAUAACGUAUCCUGGAUGAUAACCCAUGUUUGAAAUUUAGUUACGGUACCUGGGUAAAAGUUAUUCCAAAGUAUGGUUAGCCCAAGGUUGUAUGACCUCUCUAGGUUAAUCAUACCAGCAGGUGCACGAGGUGGAGAUUCCAACUAAAUUUAUCGGAAGUUGUACAGAAAAGCGACAAAUUUAAUCUGGCAAACAUUGUGGUUGUAUUGUAUUGAUGGAUGGGAUGGGUGAUAACGUGAUAAAUUCUGCACCAAUCUGAUUGAUCGACUGUUGUCCAUCGCACUUGUUUGACAAGAUUUCGAUUGAAAAUUUUAGAUUGAAAAUUUCAUAAGCAUAUGUUUUAUCAACUUCAAAUGAUAUAGUAAAAAAAGGUUAAACACUUUCUGUAGAAAAUCAAUAAAAAGUUGUAUGCAAAAACAAUAAUAAGAUUGUAAUUUGACGAAAUGCGCUUUUUGAGACAUUUAAUGAAUAGUCUCUUAAUUAUCGUUUUUUGAAAUCACUUUUUUUAUUAGCAAGAGUCAUCAUAUUGACAAAUUGAGACACAAUUGACAAGGGUUAACAGAUGGCUUUAUGUAUUUUAGUAUGUUUACUAAUGUAUAAACCUCUUCACUACUUCCGUUCUAAGCUAUUACCCAGCAAACUGUAAGUGCUCGUUUAACGAUUUCGUUCUAACCACUGUCUAGAAUGCUGUUUUUACUGCUCCAGUUAAUAUAAAUACAUCCAUCUAUUUUGUAAUUUUGUAAUAUACGUGUUAUGCAAACUGUUUUCAUACAAUUACAGAGAACUUGUUUAAUUUUUUUAUAGCAGAAAUGUAAAAAUUGUCACGCCAAAACAUGUAAUAGAAAACAAGUUUAAAACAUCCUUUCGUGAAAAAAGGACAAUUUAUACAGAAAUACGAAGACAUAUAUAGCAAUGGCUUAACCGAUAUUCAAAACGCUUUGGUAGGAAACACCACGCACAUUCAGAGUUAAAAUAUGGAUUGAUUGAUUGGUGACAUAUAAACGUCCAGUGACAAAUGUCACUGUUUAAGCAUAUUCAGGAUGAGUCUAAACUUUAACAACAAUUCAAUCGGUAAUGUACAAACUCACAAUUUGAAAGUCAACAGAAAGACAUAUAUCUCGGGUUAAACACAUUCAUAUGACUCCAAACCGACCAGUUUUUGCUUUGUCUUCUAAUGCCACACCCUAGCGGAGAAGCAGCAUGUGCCAAUUUUAGAGUGUUUUAAGCAAACCUUUGACAGAACCUACGAACUCCUGCACUUGAACGGUAUGAAGAGAACACCUAGACGGUUUCAAAAGUCGGAAUGUAUGCAAUCAUGUGGAAAAUAUAUUUAAAAUAACAUCGAAAGAAUAGCCAUUACAAUCGAAUUUAAGUUUUUAGUUUAGGACAAAGAAAAUUAGCUUUGCAAAGUAUUGAAUCACUUAUAAGCUGAGAGGCUUACAGCUCACCAGGAGUGCUAUCGACACGUUAAGGACAAAAAGAGCCAAGAUGAUCAACUAAGCCAAGCUUUGUCUAUAUUUUUCUUAAGAACUACUAAAAAUAAUGCAUCAUCAGAGAAUGCAUGAUAUAAAAAAAAUUAUUCGAAAAGCAUUAACCUCUAGGAAGAUUGAUACUCUAGAGGACAAAUAGUCACGAAAUUAACGAAGAUUUGAAAAAAUGUAUCCGGACUUAGCCACACCUAGUUAAAACACGUUAUUUUAAUUAUUUUAUCCAGAUCCUUAAAACGAAUUUGAAAUCCGUUUCCUGAGAUCACGUCAGGAUUUGUAACACUGCUGAAAUUCUGUCGCUCCAUUUCACAAUACAGGCAGAUUUGAAAUAAGAUUAACUCUGUCUUAAAUAAAGUUUCCGCAGAAAACGUCUUUCCAUGAAAAGACAUUUAAACAAUUGUCAUGCGAACAUAUUUCGUUUGCUUAAGAAAAAUAUCUUUGUAUUGAUGUUGACAAGGUUUUUCCAUUAAAUUUAAUUCUGGUGACUACGACUACUGAACCUCGUACCAAAUCCCUUCUAAGUAUUUCCGGUAAAUGUUCGGUAUCAUAGUAACACAUCGACAGGCUUUGUGAUUGACAUUUAAUCCUCUUAGUGAAGGAAAACAUGAAGUUUUCUGUAAACAAAAAAAUAAUCUUAUUCAGUCAGAUUGAUACAAAUAAUAUUUUUGUAUUAUUUAAUAAAUCGCGUUUUCCAAAUGACCUGAGUAACUUGAUUUUAGAUUAUGAAAGAAACCUACGACAUUUCAUCACACAGGUACAAUUAUGUUAGUUACAGGUAAUAGCGGAAAUCAUUUGUAUUUCAUUGUCAUCUUAAAUUGCAAAGGUGUGCACUUAAGGUGGGGCUUACACAUUAUAAAAUCAUUUACAAAAUACUUUGAAUACCUGUGUGCAAAUAUGAACUUUUGACUCCUAUAGGCAGUGUGAGUUUUUUCGUUUUCAAUACGAAAAUUUAAUAUCAAUAAAUAUUUUGUGUAUUAAAUCUUAUCUUGCUACACUGUGAAGUAUACCAUAUCCGAGGAGGCUGUACAUAGGUCACACCAUCCUGAGCGUGAUCAACGUUGUUAAUUGGUCAUAUGGUAAGAGGCCAAAUCAUACGUGUAAUUGCUUAAUCAUUUAUGAAGACACAUCCGUUUCUAUUUUCAGCCAUUAAAGAAAUCUUUAUCUA
RNAcentral lists this long non-coding RNA (4487 nucleotides) under Mytilus galloprovincialis (Mediterranean mussel). Lineage: Eukaryota; Metazoa; Mollusca; Bivalvia; Mytilida; Mytilidae. The record is from RNAcentral.